CCUCCCAUCACACGUUUCUCUCUUCUUCCAUGAAAGCUUCUCUCAAGCUUCCAUCACUCUCCCAAACUAACCUCAAUUUUUGUGCUCUACACACCUUGUUGUAGGGUUUUUCAUACUCUUUUAUUCCCCCACCUUAAACAAACCCUUAAAAGUCUUUCUUCAAUACUUUCUCUCACUAGAUGAACUUUGUAGAGAAAGAAAGAGAGGUUUCAUGAUAGUUUGAGGACUCUUGGGACGAAAUUUCAUUACAAUCCACCAAGGUUUCCUGAGUUAAAGGUGAUUGAAUCCUAGGAUAAGGUGAUCCUCCCUAUCCAUUGCCCGGUAGGUACCAUGACAUUAAAUGUUAGCAACCGUGACCAGAGUCACUCCGCUGACGGUCAAGGCCUAAUUAUGUGUAUAUGAAUACUUGAGGUGAAAUACUAAGAUUCAUUUGUCAAGCUAUAUAUGUAUAUUAUGGUAGAUGAUGCCAUUAUGAAUGCAUAAUUGGGUUUUAUAAAUUGUUUUCAAAGGGACUAUAUUUGAACAUU
This is a non-coding RNA of Theobroma cacao (cacao), 527 nucleotides long. The record is from RefSeq and is a predicted model, not a curated record. Lineage: Eukaryota; Viridiplantae; Streptophyta; Magnoliopsida; Malvales; Malvaceae.